CUGCCAGUUGUCACAUGCUUGUCUCAAAGAUUACCUCUUGCAUGUCUAAGUACAGAUUCUAAAACGAAUGAAACCGCGAAGGGCUCAUUAAAUCAGUUAUGAUUUAUUAGAUCGUGCGUUCCACAUGGAUAACUGUGGUAAUUCUAGAGCUAAUACAUGCAAAUGGCCCUGACUUACGGAGGGGCGCUUUUAUUAAAUCAAAAUCAAUCGGGGCAACCCGUUUUUGUGAUGACUCUGGAUAACUUUGUGCCGACCGCAUGGCCUUGUGCCGGCGGCGUAUCUUUCAAAUGUCUGCCCUAUCAACUUUCGAUGGUAGGUGACAUGCCUACCAUGGUUGUAACGGGUAACGGAAAAUCAGGGUUCGAUUCCGGAGAGGGAGCCUGAGAAACGGCUACCACAUCCAAGGAAGGCAGCAGGCACGCAAAUUACCCACUCCCGGCACGGGGAGGUAGUGACAAAAAAUAACAAUGCUGGGCGUUCAACGUCUGGUAAUUGGAAUGAGUACAAUCUAAAUCCCUUAACGAGGAUC
RNAcentral lists this ribosomal RNA (529 nucleotides) under uncultured eukaryote. RNAcentral describes it as "bacterial SSU rRNA". It matches the Rfam family "Eukaryotic small subunit ribosomal RNA", at positions 14 to 545 of the family's 1831-position model. The record is from RNAcentral.